AUGAGCCGCUGCGCAAUGAGGGAAAACCAAGCAAAACGAAGCAGAUUUUGGUGUAGCAGUGAAAAACAGCUGAGAAAAAAAGCAAAGAGAACAAAUGUGGAUGGACUAAGAGAGGGAAAUGAGAAUGCUAAUCAAAGUUCAUUGACUGAUGAUUCAUUGUCCGAUGUGGAGAAAAUUUCAAGAGGUGAUUAUCAGAGUGUCUUUGGGUUGUGGAAUGAUCUGGACCAACAGUUUUGGGGCGAUGAUGAAAAAGAUUCAGAUUCUUCCGAUUUCCAGGUGCACAGAAUUGAAAAUGAACGGAGCGAUUUUGGCACAUGCCGUCAUUGUCAUGCACCCAUAAUGCGAGAGACAAAUUAUUGCAACACUUGCUACCAGAAUAGAUGGCGAUGGAUACCACAAAGACCAACCCGUGCUUUGCGAAAAAAAGAAGUUCCACAAGAUCAACGGAAGGAGGCUGGGUCAUCAUAUCAAAAUUCAGAAAAUAAUUUCUUAUCCCAGGGGCCAAAGAUUAUCCUGACACAAACAUAUGUUCCUGAGGAUAAGAGAAAAGACUUGCAGUGACUUGACUGCUCCAAUUAAAACAAAAUUCAAUUUUAACUCCCAUGAAUAAACCUUACCUCUUUUCCCUUGGCUGUGAAUUGGGUUACCUAUUGCAAAGAUGCCACAACUUAGGGACUUGGAGGACAAGGCGCAUCAGUGCAGUUAUUGUUAUUUCAAGAAAUACGUGUUUCAAGUUUCAUAAUUACAUGGAGCCUUAUGGCAGAAAGGAAGUUUAAACUCACUUCUUGAUGCUUUAAAGUUGGAUUUUAGUUGCAAGGUUUUCACAGAAUAUACUCUCAAACUAGUUUUGGUUGAGGUCAUGAAUAUAUCAAUUUUUUAAAAAAACUGCACUUUGCGCCUGUCCUUCAGGCCCCUCAACUAGGAUUGAAAGUUUUUCCGAAAGACAUCUCAUUAAAGAACCCUGCACCAUCCUCUGGUAAAUCCCCCCCAGUAAAACCUGAUGAAACUUUGAUAAGUUGCUCAGCUAGUCAUUCUGAUCAAAAGCUCUCACAGGCCCAAAAGAGAUCCCAUGUGCCGUUUUUGAGAUAUUCGCCAUUUUAUAUGCGUGAACGGAGGUCACCCCAGCCGGACCAUUGUGCGGCACUACUCGUACCCUUCCUUUCCAGUCCACUCAGGCCCCUCUCCGCUUUUCCGCCACCUAUACCUGAGGCUCGGACUCCGACGCUCACGAGGCUUCGCACAUCAGCACUGGCCGGCUGGUCUUAUCACCACUCAGAGAAGACCAUCCAGGCCAGUGCCGAUGAGCGAAGCCUCGUAAGCGUCAGAGUCCGAGCCUCAGGUAUGGAUGGCGGAGAAGCGGAGAGGGGUCGGAGUGAACUGGAAGGGAAGGGUACGAGUAGUGCCGCACAAUGGUCCAGCUGGUAGGACCUCCGUUCACGCAUAUAAAACAGCGAAUAUCUCCAGAACCGCACAUGGGAUCUUUGGGCCCGAGAGUUUUUGAUCAGAGUGACUAACCGAGCAACAUAUCAAAGUUUUAUCAGGUUUUACUAGGGGUGAUUUCCCAUAAGGAUGGUGCGGGGAUCUUCAUGGUCUCUCAGGACAAGAUAGACUCUUUGAUUUCUUCUAAAAAUUGUUCUUUUGUAAAAAUUGACUUAAUGCUCAUAGGUAAGUACAUCGCCUCAUCAGUUGCUCGCAACAAACAGGGGCUGACAACUUUUCCUGGCACUAGUUGCCGUAACUUGUUCCUUCAUUGCUGACAGGCAAUAUCACCUACCCUCAACAGAAAAAGAGGACCUCCUGAGAGUCCCAAAACCAAAUAAGAGACAUGAAAGCCUUCGGAUCUUUUCUGUUGUAGUGGUCUCCAGAGUCGGUUUUUGAUGGGAGAGCAUUGGGUGACGGUACACACAAAUUACUCUCAUAUCAGAUUAUGAUAACAUAACAAUCACUUGAUGGCAAUCAAUCGAAAUAUGAAAGUGACAAAUCAAAAUGAAAGGACCUCAGCAGAAUGAACAAUGAAUACAUGUUUUGCCUCUAUCAAACCAAUGAUCUCAUGAGAAUUGAGUGUGUUUAAGAAGUGAUGGCAUUACCUGUUUAAUGGAUUUCAUUAUGAGCUGUUACGUGAAGAUUUCUUCACAAUAGUCUGCCAAUAAUUUUUUUUACCUUAAUUACAUUACUUUGAAUUUUGUACUCUAUGGAAUUGAACUUCGAAAGACCCUGGGGAAACGCGUGCGUGGGCGUGGGCACUGCCGACCUAACCUCGAAGUUCUGUAAGUAAUCUGUUCGUUGGUUGUUGUGAAGUGUUUACCCGAAAUUUUCUAUUCACGUGCUAGUGCAAGAUCAGCGGAAAAGAAAUCGAGGGAAAGCUAUGCUGACGACAAAACAUUGAAAAUUGAAAUUAUCCAGGUAAAGUAAAGCACACCUGUAAUUUUCCUCCCAACUUCAUCAGUUUCCUUCAUUUUGCCUUUCGUUUUGUUUAUUGUGGGGCAAGGUUUCGUUUGUCCCACAGAGAUAGCUUGAAAAAGGCCAUUGCAUCUCAUCUUUCAAUCCUUUCAAUAAGUUUUACCACUUGUCCUUGAAGAAAAGUCUCACCUCAUGUACUUAUUCUAUUUCUUGAGUUUGAUACAACUGAUUACACUGAAAUAAUUUCAUUUUAAUCACAUCAAACAGGCCUGUGCGCUAGAGUACCUGAAUAGGGAGAGUACGGUCAUAUCGGUUCAUGGAGGGGCUUAGGGCCCAAAAGUGCAGCCACCCUUCUAACCAACUUCUAACGCACAAAAUUUCACUGCCAGUCUGCAGAUUCCAAUUCUGACCAAGAUGGCUAAGAAUGUACAGAAAUGAGCGUUAUUCCGCAAAAUUGAUCAAAUUUAUGCAAAAGCUGAGUCAAACACGUGCUUAACAAACGACGGUUCGUAACAAUAGUAUUAUUAAAUCGCUCUGGAUAAUUGAAAUUCAUAGGUUGGCUGCCCUUUUGGGCCCUAACUUUAUUCGCGGAGACAUCGGUGAAGGCCUGAUGGACUUUCGGAGUUUCACAUAUGACCGUACUCUCCCUAUACAGGUACUCUACUGUGCGCUUAAAUUUGCGCCAAAGUGGCACAAUUUGAAUGUCGUUCUUGGUCAAGUUGUGGUGAGGUCUAUCUAGACUCCAAGUCAAGUUCACACUCUUUUAAAGUGUGACAGAUGAUCCACCAUCUUGGUUCUUGUAUUCACUUUUAAAGCCAAACUGAAAAUAGCUGAUCUUCUGUCGCACUCCAAAAGAGCCUAAGUAUACUUGUUCUGUGUGGACUCAUCCGUCCGAAUGCACCACCCGCUGUCAGAAUAUCAGGAAACAACAGGCAUAAUCACUCUAUGUCUAUCUUUCAUCUCUGCUUCAUCAAGUCAAGUGUCUCGGGACUAAUUUCUCUGUUUCGCGCAGAUUCUUAUCUUCCUCUUGAAAUUUGACAAGACAGAGGGGAGGCGUAUCUAAAUGUGUUUUGAUUCCAUGCCAGACAAGUUUACGGACUGUUUGAGUGUGUCAGAAGAUCCGCCACCUUCAGCUUAGAAUUGAAAAUAAGUGCAAGAAUGAAGGUAGCGGGUCUUAAGUCACACUCUUAAAGUGUGUUAUUAUGAUCCAAGAAGCCAGGGAACUCAGUACGUAAGGGUAAAGGAGCAGAGCAAAUGCUAUUUUGGAAACUGAGUCGUAUUCAUGAAUGACCAUAAAAAAUGGUGCCUGGCUAUGGCUUGUGCUUCACAGACAGGCUGCCAGGUGUACCAACAGGCAUUGAUGCAUGAACACUGCCCGGAUUUUAUAUUUGGCAAGAACUCUAAGCUUGUGUGCAUUGAGGUGGCUUCAUCCUCUUGACUACCCUUCGGAGCCUAGUUCUGACCAUCUUUCAAGUUUUCUUUGGUGGAAAAUACUGUCUUAUCGUAAGUAUCUGAUCUGUAUGGGCAAUUCUAUGAAAAUUGCCAAAUUUCAGUCUCGAGCGUUUCAUUUUUAUAAAGUGUGAAUAAAGUCCGCAUUUCAUCUGAUCACAAAUGAUUAUAAAAAUAUCAAGGUAAAAGAACCUGUCAUGUUUUAGUUACAACAUUGAUAAGUAAAUGGCAGAUUACAUAAUGCAAUUUACAUCUUCAAGUAUGUAACAUCGGUGGUUUCAUUCAAUUCAUUUAAUCUUCUUUUAACAAAAUGUCAUUUUGUGAUUGAAAAACCUGCAGCUCUGUGAGUAGCCCUGAAGGUUGAUGCCCUUUGCAAGCUUUUUGUAGUCCAUGACGUUAUUUAUAACAUGAUCAUCAAAUG
Molecule: long non-coding RNA, 4270 nt
Filed under: Bemisia tabaci
Lineage: Eukaryota; Metazoa; Arthropoda; Insecta; Hemiptera; Aleyrodidae
Description: lncRNA ENSASIAIIG009374
Source: RNAcentral